This 106-nucleotide ribosomal RNA is filed under the name Lepisosteus oculatus (spotted gar). Lineage: Eukaryota; Metazoa; Chordata; Actinopteri; Semionotiformes; Lepisosteidae. The record is from RNAcentral.
ACCAGCAGCUGUAUCACCCUGCAGCCCCACUGGAGCUCAGCAGGUGUGAGCCUGGUCAGUACCUGGAGGGGAGACCUCCUGGGAAAAACUAAGGUUGCUGCUGGAA